Small nucleolar RNA from Esox lucius (northern pike), 132 nucleotides. Lineage: Eukaryota; Metazoa; Chordata; Actinopteri; Esociformes; Esocidae. The record is from Ensembl.
UUGCAUUGUGGUAUGUCUGUGAGAGCUCAACAUCCCGUGGGUAUAACUGUCAUACCAAUGCUAAAUGAACCCCCAUCUUGCAGAAGGGUGAUGUCUGUGACUGGCACACCCUUUCGAAAGUUGGGUACAUUG